Molecule: ribosomal RNA, 253 nt
Filed under: uncultured bacterium
Lineage: Bacteria
Description: partial 16S ribosomal RNA
Rfam family: Bacterial small subunit ribosomal RNA
Source: RNAcentral
UACAUAGGCCCCAAGCGUUAUCCGGAAUUACUGGGCGUAAAGAGUUCGUAGGCGGAGGAAUAAGUCAGAAGUGAAAGGUCCGGGCUCAACCCGGUACUUGCUUUUGAAACUAUUCCCCUUGAAUGAGGGAGAGGGAGGCAGAAUGGUACGAGUAGGGGUGCAAUCCGUUGAUACGUACCGGAAUACCAAAAGCGAAGGCAGCCUCCUGGAACUCUAUUGACGCUGAGGAACGAAAGCGUGGGGAGCGAAAAGG